AACUCAUUCAGGGAAAUUCGAUAAAAUUGGAACGAUACAAUAGAAGAUUAGGAUGGCCCUUGCGCGAUUGACAUGCUCUAAUCGAAAAAUAUUCCAAAUUUUU
This is a small nuclear RNA of Solanum dulcamara, 103 nucleotides long. The record is from RefSeq and is a predicted model, not a curated record. Lineage: Eukaryota; Viridiplantae; Streptophyta; Magnoliopsida; Solanales; Solanaceae.